GGCAACUUGCCCGAGUGGCUAAGGGGUUAGACUCGAAAUCUAAUGGGCUAUGCCCGCGCUGGUUCAAAUCCAGCAGUUGUCG
RNAcentral lists this transfer RNA (82 nucleotides) under Dermatophagoides pteronyssinus (European house dust mite). Its description in RNAcentral is "tRNA-Ser". It matches the Rfam family "tRNA". Rfam says of the family: Transfer RNA (tRNA) molecules are approximately 80 nucleotides in length. Their secondary structure includes four short double-helical elements and three loops (D, anti-codon, and T loops). Further hydrogen bonds mediate the characteristic L-shaped molecular structure. tRNAs have two regions of fundamental functional importance: the anti-codon, which is responsible for specific mRNA codon recognition, and the 3' end, to which the tRNAs corresponding amino acid is attached (by aminoacyl-tRNA synthetases). tRNAs cope with the degeneracy of the genetic code in two manners: having more than one tRNA (with a specific anti-codon) for a particular amino acid; and 'wobble' base-pairing, i.e. permitting non-standard base-pairing at the 3rd anti-codon position. The record is from Rfam by way of RNAcentral. Lineage: Eukaryota; Metazoa; Arthropoda; Arachnida; Sarcoptiformes; Pyroglyphidae.